RNAcentral lists this unclassified non-coding RNA (213 nucleotides) under plant metagenome. RNAcentral describes it as "partial contains small subunit ribosomal RNA, internal transcribed spacer 1, and 5.8S ribosomal RNA". The record is from RNAcentral.
UUUCCGUAGGUGAACCUGCGGAAGGAUCAUUCAUAAUAAGUGUUUCAUGGCACUUUUUUAAAUCCAUAUCCACCUUGUGUGCAAUGUCAGGGUUGAUUUUUCUCUCGAGAGGAUCAACCCCAAACAUCAACUAUAUCUCAACUCUUUGUCUGAAAAAUAUUAUGAAUAAAACAAUUCAAAAUACAACUUUCAACAACGGAUCUCUUGGCUCUC